Molecule: ribosomal RNA, 253 nt
Filed under: uncultured bacterium
Lineage: Bacteria
Description: partial 16S ribosomal RNA
Rfam family: Bacterial small subunit ribosomal RNA
Source: RNAcentral
UACGUAGGGUGCAAGCGUUGUCCGGAAUUAUUGGGCGUAAAGAGCGUGUAGGCGGCCCGAUUAGUCCGCUGUGAAAGUCCAGGGUUCAACCCUGGAAUGCCGGUGGAUACUGUCGGGCUAGAGUCCGGAAGGGGCGAGUGGAAUUCCUGGUGUAGCGGUGAAAUGCGCAGAUAUCAGGAGGAACACCAAUGGCGUAGGCAGCUCGCUGGGACGUGACUGACGCUGAGACGCGAAAGCGUGGGGAGCAAACAGG